GAUAAACGCUAGCGGCAGGCUUAACACAUGCAAGUCGAGGGGCAGCAUAGAUUGUAGCAACACAAUUGGUGGCGACCGGCGCACGGGUGCGUAACGCGUAUGCAACCUACCCGUCACAGGGGGAUAAUCCGGAGAAAUCUGGUCUAAUACCCCAUAACAUAUGGAUCGGCAUCGGUUCAUGUUGAAAUUUUCGGAGGUGACGGAUGGGCAUGCGUAGCAUUAGCUUGUUGGUGAGGUAACGGCUCACCAAGGCGACGAUGCUUAGGGGGACUGAUAGGUUGUCCCCCCACGCUGGUACUGAGACACGGACCAGACUCCUACGGGAGGCAGCAGUGAGGAAUAUUGGUCAAUGGGCGCAAGCUUGAACCAGCCAUGCCGCGUGCAGGAUGACGGCUCUAUGAGUUGUAAACUGCUUUUGUACGAGGGUAAAGUGGGUUACGUGUAACCUUUUGAAAGUAUCGUACGAAUAAGGAUCGGCUAACUCCGUGCCAGCAGCCGCGGUAA
Molecule: ribosomal RNA, 504 nt
Filed under: uncultured bacterium
Lineage: Bacteria
Description: partial 16S ribosomal RNA
Rfam family: Bacterial small subunit ribosomal RNA
Source: RNAcentral